RNAcentral lists this unclassified non-coding RNA (345 nucleotides) under soil metagenome. Its description in RNAcentral is "partial contains 5.8S ribosomal RNA, internal transcribed spacer 2, and large subunit ribosomal RNA". The stretch from base 1 to 120 matches the Rfam family "5.8S ribosomal RNA", at positions 35 to 154 of the family's 154-position model. The record is from RNAcentral.
GAUGAAGAACGUAGUAAAAUGCGAUAAGUAAUGUGAAUUGCAGAAUUCAGUGAAUCAUCGAAUCUUUGAACGCACAUUGCGCCCGCCAGUAUUCUGGCGGGCAUGCCUGUUCGAGCGUCAUUUCAACCCUCAAGCCCUCGGGUUUGGUGUUGGGGAUCGGCGAGCCUUUCUGGCAAGCCGGCCCCGAAAUCUAGUGGCGGUCUCGCUGCAGCCUCCAUUGCGUAGUAGUAAAACCCUCGCAACUGGAACGCGGCGCGGCCAAGCCGUUAAACCCCCAACUUCUGAAUGUUGACCUCGGAUCAGGUAGGAAUACCCGCUGAACUUAAGCAUAUCAAUAAGCGGGGA